Molecule: small RNA, 27 nt
Filed under: Bombyx mori (domestic silkworm)
Lineage: Eukaryota; Metazoa; Arthropoda; Insecta; Lepidoptera; Bombycidae
Description: ovarian small RNA-11654
Source: RNAcentral
ACUCACAGGAGACUACGCCUUGAGAAA